Molecule: long non-coding RNA, 178 nt
Filed under: Mustela putorius furo (domestic ferret)
Lineage: Eukaryota; Metazoa; Chordata; Mammalia; Carnivora; Mustelidae
Description: lncRNA (ENSMPUG00000031788.1)
Source: RNAcentral
UGGGCUUGCUUUAUCUUCCUUAAAAAAAAAAAAAGAAAAGAAAAGCCAAUAGUUUCAUUACAAAUGAGAAAGGAAGUCGAUACAAAACUGAUCUUUGGGUGACCAUACUGGAAUGAGUUCUCUGUCCUUUAUUUUUCCUGGAUUCAUCAUAUCCUGGCCUCUCCCACCUGACCCAAUA